AAUAUCUUAAACUUCCACUCAGAAACCAAGAGACAGCUACUGCAGAUCCCAGAGCCCUGCUGCUAUGUGCUCACAGCAGGUUGCACCGUUUAACAAGCAGGCUUCUGCAUUCUGCACUACCAUCCCUUUCUGAAUAAAUGUAAGCUGCGGCCCCAUGUAGAGCGCCUUUUUAAUUUAUUGAGCUUUACGGCCUUGCAGAGUCUUUUUGGACCAUGGUGCUUAGGCACAGAAGGUGGGGCUGCAGAAACAGAUCCAACAGAUCCAACAAUAUAACCAUACAGAAUCUGAGGAAGUUUAGGAGACCCUGAAACCAAACUGUCAAAAAGGAAUGAACCACAUCCUCCAAAAAUAUCAGGUCCCCUGCCUGAUAGAGUUAUGCAGACACACCAACAAAGCAUCUGGGCUCUGCUUUUCCUGCUGUAGGGGACACUGGAGACAAUCACAAGACCCUCAAACAAUUAUCUUGCUGAUCUUCCCCAAAACCCUACAGCCAGUUUGAAGCAUAAGUGUAUGAUCACAGUGAACAAGAACCCAGUAUGCUGGAGUGGGGCUGAAAAACUGUGCUGCAGACCUACUUGAAAAUACUGAAGCUGGCUGUGAUCACUACUUCAGAUAUUACACAGUUGCGUUUUUUGCUUCCUGGAAGCACUGACCACCUGCUGAUUUCAUGCCAGAAGUCUUUGUUGAUUUGUAGCUAUUUACAUACUGUAACAAAAGCAGUGAUUGGCCUUUUGGUUAGAGGGAGAUUCUCUCCGCUCAUCUGUGAGCAAAGAGCAUCCAUAAGAUCCCAUUGUUUUCAAUUGCUUUUAGGACUUUCCCCAGAUGCUAAAUGAUCUAUCUGCACUGACAUAAAGGUAAUGCCUUGUAAGGCUUUAAAACAGGUUUGUUGACGUGCUAUUGGGCAGAUAUUUAACAGCUCUUAUGAUGAUGACUCAUAUGCUAGCUUUUGCGGUGAUUGAUGAUAUCACUGUCUAGUUUAUUCACCAAGAACACUGAUUGAUUUUAGUAAUAUGUUUCACAACAUCAGAUCCUGCAAAAUGCAAAUCAAUGCCAAAGUUCAGUUAAACAGUUAUAAAUAAAUUGAAACCACUACUAACCA
Molecule: long non-coding RNA, 1099 nt
Filed under: Chrysemys picta bellii (western painted turtle)
Lineage: Eukaryota; Metazoa; Chordata; Testudines; Emydidae
Description: lncRNA (ENSCPBG00000018715.1)
Source: RNAcentral